CAGAGCCCUAGUUAUGUGGCAGGCGUGAUCAUAGGAUACAAAGACACGUCAGGCAUAGUCCUCCUCUCCAGGAGCUCCCAGUCUAGUGAGACAGAA
This 96-nucleotide microRNA precursor is filed under the name Chlorocebus sabaeus (green monkey). RNAcentral's name for it is "miRNA (ENSCSAG00000023325.1)". Lineage: Eukaryota; Metazoa; Chordata; Mammalia; Primates; Cercopithecidae. The record is from RNAcentral.